AAUUUUUUGUUUAGAUGAUUUACAUAAAAUCAAAGAGAAGGAAAUUUUUUUUUUGAGUCAAAUUU
Molecule: transfer RNA, 65 nt
Filed under: Hemiselmis rufescens
Lineage: Eukaryota; Cryptophyceae; Cryptomonadales; Hemiselmidaceae
Source: RNAcentral